This 74-nucleotide small nucleolar RNA is filed under the name Ornithorhynchus anatinus (platypus). Lineage: Eukaryota; Metazoa; Chordata; Mammalia; Monotremata; Ornithorhynchidae. The record is from RNAcentral.
CCUUUUGCCAAUGAUGCGGAGAAUUUCUUCACCUGAACGAUUAUGUGGCCGCUUUACGAUCCUGAGACAAAAGG